AGUUUGGCCGAAUGGUCUAAGGCGCCAGAUUUAGGCUCUGGUCCGAAAUGGCGUGGCUUCAAAUCCCACAG
Molecule: transfer RNA, 71 nt
Filed under: Helianthus annuus (common sunflower)
Lineage: Eukaryota; Viridiplantae; Streptophyta; Magnoliopsida; Asterales; Asteraceae
Description: tRNA HanXRQr2_Chr04g0147481
Rfam family: tRNA
About the family: Transfer RNA (tRNA) molecules are approximately 80 nucleotides in length.
Source: RNAcentral